RNAcentral lists this ribosomal RNA (490 nucleotides) under uncultured bacterium. RNAcentral describes it as "partial 16S ribosomal RNA". It matches the Rfam family "Bacterial small subunit ribosomal RNA", at positions 28 to 507 of the family's 1533-position model. The record is from RNAcentral.
GAUGAACGCUAGCUACAGGCUUAACACAUGCAAGUCGCAGGGUAACAUGAGGAAAGCUUGCUUUCCUUGAUGACGACUGGCGCACGGGUGAGUAACGCGUAUCCAACCUUCCCUUAACUACGGGAUAACCCGUUGAAAGACGGCCUAAUACCGUAUGAUAUCGUUUGCUGACAUCAAAUAACGAUUAAAGGUUUAGCGGUUAUGGAUGGGGAUGCGUCUGAUUGGCUUGUUGGCGGGGUAACGGCCCACCAAGGCGAGGAUCAGUAGGGGUUCUGAGGGGGGGCGGCCCGAGAGUGGGACCGGGAACCGGUCCAAACUCCUACGGGCGGGAGCAGUGAGGAAUGUUGAUCAAGGGGAGAGAGCCUGAACCAGCCAAGUAGGGUGCAGGACGACGGCGCUAUGGGUUGUAAACUGCUUUUAUGUGGCGAUAAAGUGCGUGACGGGUCAUGCAUUGAAGGUAACACAUGAAUAAGCACCGGCUAAUUACGUG